RNAcentral lists this ribosomal RNA (450 nucleotides) under uncultured bacterium. Its description in RNAcentral is "bacterial SSU rRNA". It matches the Rfam family "Bacterial small subunit ribosomal RNA", at positions 354 to 796 of the family's 1533-position model. The record is from RNAcentral.
GUGGGGAAUUUUGGACAAUGGGGGCAACCCUGAUCCAGCCAUGCCGCGUGAGUGAAGAAGGCCUUCGGGUUGUAAAGCUCUUUCGGCCGGGAAGAAAUCGCAUCUCCUAAUACGGGGUGUGGAUGACGGUACCGGAAGAAGAAGCACCGGCUAACUACGUGCCAGCAGCCGCGGUAAUACGUAGGGUGCGAGCGUUAAUCGGAAUUACUGGGCGUAAAGCGUGCGCAGGCGGCGCCAUAAGACAGCUGUGAAAUCCCCGGGCUUAACCUGGGAACUGCGGUUGUGACUGUGGUGCUUGAGUGCGGCAGAGGGGGGUGGAAUUCCACGUGUAGCAGUGAAAUGCGUAGAGAUGUGGAGGAACACCGAUGGCGAAGGCAGCCCCCUGGGUUGACACUGACGCUCAUGCACGAAAGCGUGGGGAGCAAACAGGAUUAGAUACCCUAGUAGUCC